GCCAGUAUCCUCGUCUCACCCAGAACCCACCAAUCGCAGCGCUCCUCUGUAUUCCCCUCCAGAUGCACCCCUACAAAACCACGGAAAUCCAUAAUUUUUCACAACACAGAGGAAGAGCACACAGACACAGACAAGCAGUAGACCACGCGCCCACAGCCUCAGCCUCAGGUCUCCCUUCGCGCACCGCAGCCACCACCAAGUGCAACCAAUCCCCCGACAAAACCCCAUCCACUCCUUUAUCAGCGUUUCCCUCCCUUUCCUCCGCUCCCCUCCAUCCAUCCUCAGCCGCCUCUUCGCCGGCCGGCCAGCCAGCCAUGGCAAAUGCUUCCCUCCAGUCCUUCCUCCCCCAGCACCACCAUUCUUUCCUCAGCAGCGCCACCCACGACGGCUCCCCUCCCGCGCUCCUCAAGCUCACCACCACCACCGCCAGCAACAGCAUUUCAUUCAAGCUCUUCGCCAGCGGCUCCUCCUCGGUGACCACAACCGCCAACUCGCCGGCCCCGACUCCGGCGGCGACAACCUCGCCGCCCACCCCCUCGCUGGAGCUCCUGGGCCAGCAGCUGGCGGCGGGGGACUACCGGCAGGCCGACGAGACCACCCGGGCCCUCCUCAUCGUCCUCGCCGGCGAGGCCGCGCGCCGCCGAGGGUACGUCUUCUUCUCGGAGGUCCAGUUCAUCUCCGUGGAGGACCUGCGCGCCGUGGACGCGCUCUGGCUGGAGCACAGCGGCGGCAGGUUCGGGUACAGCGUGCAGCGCCGGGUUUGGGAGAAAUCGCUGCGCGAGUUCACCCGCUUCUUCAUCAGGAUCGGGUGGAUGAAGAAGCUGGACACCGAGGUGGAGCAGUUCAACUACAGGGCCUUCCCGGACGAGUUCAUCUGGGAGCUCACCGACGACACGCCGGAGGGCCACCUGCCCCUCACCAACGCCCUCAGGGGCACGCGACUCCUGGAGAACAUCUUCACCCACCCCGCCUUCGACUGCGAGGAAGAGGAGGCAGCUGCAGCAGAUGAGGAGGCUGGCACGGGCAGUGCCACUGGUCAGAAUAACAAGGAUGACAAGAAAAGCAGGGGGAGGUCAAAGAGUUUGACAGAUUUCAAGCCCGACUACUCCUUUUAAGGAGCGUGCAAGUUUGUGAUGAUGCUGUCAAUGGGGCAGCUGAUUUUAAAAAAAGUCAUGUUUCUGUAGUUCGUUUUGGUUGUUUCUGUACUGAACAUGCAUGGAAAUUUGUGACCAUAUAUAUUAUAAAGAUAAGUGUUUGAGAAGCUGCUUGUUCUGGACAAGGAUGAUUGCAUCUGGACAUGCAAAAGAUGAACUGCAUGCGCAGGACAAAGCGAAAAUAUGUUCUUAUGCGAUACGCCAUUUGGAAACUCGGUGCAGAAAUGGCCAUGCCAUUUUGAGCCGUCAGCUUUCGGCGGAUUACCUCCGCUUGUUUCCUGGCAAGUGA
This 1443-nucleotide ribosomal RNA is filed under the name Triticum aestivum (bread wheat). RNAcentral's name for it is "partial small subunit ribosomal RNA". The record is from RNAcentral. Lineage: Eukaryota; Viridiplantae; Streptophyta; Magnoliopsida; Poales; Poaceae.